GACGAACGCUGGCGGCGUGCCUAAUACAUGCAAGUAGAACGCUGAAGGAGGAGCUUGCUUCUCUGGAUGAGUUGCGAACGGGUGAGUAACGCGUAGGUAACCUGCCUGGUAGCGGGGGAUAACUAUUGGAAACGAUAGCUAAUACCGCAUAAGAGUAGAUGUCGCAUGACAUUUGCUUAAAAGGUGCAAUUGCAUCACUACCAGAUGGACCUGCGUUGUAUUAGCUAGUUGGUGAGGUAACGGCUCACCAAGGCAACGAUACAUAGCCGACCUGAGAGGGUGAUCGGCCACACUGGGACUGAGACACGGCCCAGACUCCUACGGGAGGCAGCAGUAGGGAACCUUCGGCAAUGGACGGAAGUCUGACCGAGCAACGCCGCGUGAGUGAAGAAGGUUUUCGGAUCGUAAAGCUCUGUUGUAAGAGAAGAACGAGUGUGAGAGUGGAAAGUUCACACUGUGACGGUAUCUUACCAGAAAGGGACGGCUAACUACGUG
This 495-nucleotide ribosomal RNA is filed under the name uncultured bacterium. RNAcentral's name for it is "partial 16S ribosomal RNA". It matches the Rfam family "Bacterial small subunit ribosomal RNA", at positions 28 to 507 of the family's 1533-position model. The record is from RNAcentral.